Small nuclear RNA from Apteryx haastii (Great spotted kiwi), 175 nucleotides. Its record names the gene U1. It matches the Rfam family "U1 spliceosomal RNA". From Rfam's summary of the family: U1 is a small nuclear RNA (snRNA) component of the spliceosome (involved in pre-mRNA splicing). The record is from Ensembl. NCBI's taxonomy places the organism in Eukaryota, Metazoa, Chordata, Aves, Apterygiformes, Apterygidae.
ACACCUAUCCAGUAGGAAAGGCACCCUGAGCCCAAAGAUGGUUUUCCUCAGGGAAAUGGUUUUCCUUGUGUAAGGCUUACACCUUCCACUGUGGGUGUGCUGACUCCUGCCAUUUCUCCAAACACAGAAAACUGCACCAUUUGCAGUAGCGGGGGACUGUGUUCACAUUCUCCCC